Molecule: ribosomal RNA, 856 nt
Filed under: uncultured bacterium
Lineage: Bacteria
Description: bacterial SSU rRNA
Rfam family: Bacterial small subunit ribosomal RNA
Source: RNAcentral
CAGUCGAGCGAGCGGAACCACAGAUUUACUUCGGUAAUGACGUUGGGAAAGCGAGCGGCGGAUGGGUGAGUAACACGUGGGGAACCUGCCCCUAAGUCUGGGAUACCAUUUGGAAACAGGUGCUAAUACCGGAUAAUAAAGCGGAUCGCAUGAUCAGCUUUUGAAAGGCGGCGUAAGCUGUCGCUAAGGGAUGGCCCCGCGGUGCAUUAGCUAGUUGGUAAGGUAACGGCUUACCAAGGCGACGAUGCAUAGCCGAGUUGAGAGACUGAUCGGCCACAUUGGGACUGAGACACGGCCCAAACUCCUAUGGGAGGCAGCAGUAGGGAAUCUUCCACAAUGGACGCAAGUCUGAUGGAGCAACGCCGCGUGAGUGAAGAAGGUUUUCGGAUCGUAAAGCUCUGUUGUUGGUGAAGAAGGAUAGAGGUAGUAACUGGCCUUUAUUUGACGGUAAUCAACCAGAAAGUCACGGCUAACUACGUGCCAGCAGCCGCGGUAAUACGUAGGUGGCAAGCGUUGUCCGGAUUUAUUGGGCGUAAAGCGAGCGCAGGCGGAAAAGUAAGUCUAAUGUGAAAGCCCUCGGCUUAACCGAGGAACUGCAUCGGAAACUGUUUUUCUUGAGUGCAGAAGAGGAGAGUGGAACUCCAUGUGUAGCGGUGGAAUGCGUAGAUAUAUGGAAGAACACCAGUGGCGAAGGCGGCUCUCUGGUCUGCAACUGACGCUGAGGCUCGAAAGCAUGGGUAGCGAACAGGAUUAGAUACCCUGGUAGUCCAUGCCGUAAACGAUGAGUGCUAAGUGUUGGGAGGUUUCCGCCUCUCAGUGCUGCAGCUAACGCAUUAAGCACUCCGCCUGGGGAGUA